UACGUAGGGGGCGAGCGUUGUCCGGAUUUACUGGGCGUAAAACGCUUGUAGGUGGCCACGCCAAGUCGGAUGUGAAAUCUCCCGGCUUAACUGGGAGCGGUCAUUCGAUACUGGCGGGCUCGAGGCAGGUAGGGGGAAGCGGAAUUCCCGGUGUAGUGGUGGAAUGCGUAGAUAUCGGGAGGAACACCAGUGGCGAAGGCGGCUUCCUGGACCUGUUCUGACACUGAGGAACGAAAGCGUGGGGAGCGAUCCGG
This 254-nucleotide ribosomal RNA is filed under the name uncultured bacterium. Its description in RNAcentral is "partial 16S ribosomal RNA". It matches the Rfam family "Bacterial small subunit ribosomal RNA", at positions 524 to 776 of the family's 1533-position model. The record is from RNAcentral.